GGCGGCGUGAACUGAGUUUUUGGCCUCGCUGGAGAGCUUUGGAGCUUGGUCGCUAAUACGGAAGAGCACGCUGGAGGGAGACGUGCCUUGCUUUGGUGACUUUGUUCUGAGGGGCCUGUGUCCAAGCAGAGACUAAACCAGAGCAGCUGUGGGGCCACUUGAAUUUACAGAAGGGAUCAGGUUCUGCAAGGCUGCACCAGUCGGACCAGCAAGAUCUGAUUCCAGCAAUGGCUUUAUGGAUAGCUACACUGGCACUGGUUAAAGGAGAAGAAACCUGGUUACGGAAUCAAAGAAAUUUCUGAAACUGAGUGUUGUUAUUUUUGUCAGGCAAAUAAGGACCAUACAGAGGCAACUUCAGCUCUUUUUUUAUUAACCAGUUAAUCUCCGAUCAAAUACGUAUUGAAACCUCUUGAACUGACCCAUC
Egretta garzetta (little egret) is the source of this 424-nucleotide long non-coding RNA. RefSeq lists it as uncharacterized. The transcript has 3 exons. NCBI's taxonomy places the organism in Eukaryota, Metazoa, Chordata, Aves, Pelecaniformes, Ardeidae. The record is from RefSeq and is a predicted model, not a curated record.